GUCCCCUUCGUCUAGAGGGCUCAGACACCGCCCUUUCACGGCGGUAACAGGGUUCGAAUCCCCUAGGGGACGCCA
Molecule: transfer RNA, 75 nt
Filed under: Klebsiella pneumoniae
Lineage: Bacteria; Pseudomonadati; Pseudomonadota; Gammaproteobacteria; Enterobacterales; Enterobacteriaceae
Description: tRNA-Glu
Rfam family: tRNA
About the family: Transfer RNA (tRNA) molecules are approximately 80 nucleotides in length. Their secondary structure includes four short double-helical elements and three loops (D, anti-codon, and T loops).
Source: RNAcentral